AAAUUGGCAACGGGUGUGUUUUUAUGUUUUAUCCUUAAAGAAAAUCGGCAUCCAAAAUUUUGACUCAAGGAAAACAUACAUUACCAUCACAUAUAUAAAAAAAGUAACAUAACAAUUCCGUGAAGGAAAAUCUGCACAACAUGUUUCUCAUCAAAAUCAAUUAGUAAACCCAUUAUGAGGUCCAAAUUGCAUUUGUGACAUUCAUCUUAUAUCUCAUGAAAUGUAAACUCUGGUCAUAAGAAGCAUUUGGUGCACACCAUAUAGGAUCCACUGAGGUUUGUGGAAUGUCCACGACGAAUAUAACGUACUCGCGAAAAUCUUUCAAGCAGCACGUAUUAGAAUAUAUUCUUUGCAUGUCAGCCUCACAAAUCCAAAACAGAUACAGAAAAAGGCUAAAAAGGUUGUACAAGUAACCUGUGGUAUUUUCUUUGAAAAUACAUUAUGAUUACAGUGUUCCUUCUGUCCAGUCCAACUGAUUCAUAAAUCUAGUUAAAUCAGUUGAAUAUAACUAUACCGUGCUAUCAUUAAUAAUAGAAAAAAAGUAAAAUCACAAAAAUACUGCACUCCGAGGAAAAUUCAAAACGGAGCGUCCCUAAUCAAAUGACAAAAUAAAAUGAUAAAACACAUUAAACGAAUGGACAACUGUCAUAUUCCUGACUGGGUACAGACAUUACAAGACAGUAUAUUUUUUUUCUGAUCUACACAUUUUAAUAAAAUGGUUUAACAACAAAACGCAGGUAAUAACUAUAUGCUGCCAAGCAUACAGGAUAUCGUUUCAGUGAAAAUUUCGUGCGAUACUUUAGAUUCAACCAAAUAAAUUUCAAUACCGUUUCUGCUAAUAAGAAACAUGUGUCCUCCGCAGCUCAAAUUCUAUCUAGAAUUUAGUUCUCUAUAAGUAGACGAUAACAGUAUUGGUAUAAGGGGAAAGGGAUAGAUGGGGUGAGGUGGGGUGGUUAAAGUUAUUAAGCUUGGAAAUUAAGCUUGGGAAUUGAUUAAGUCUGACAAUGAUUUAACCAUGUACACAUUUUCCAAGAAGGAAUCCAAGAAAGUUAUAAAAUAUGCAUAUUAUUUAAUUAAAACACAUUGUGAUAUACAAACUACAAUGCAUUUUUAUAUAUUAACUUUCGGAGUUUUUUUCAGUACAAGUAUCGGUUGUGACUCAAAAAGAAAGAAAUCUGAGCGAAAGGCACUAGUAGAACAUCUUGAAAGACUGUUAGAAGAUGCCAAACAGGAUCAAGAAAGACCAGACAGUUUCAUACAGGCGAUUAUUGAAAAGUAAACAUAAAUUAUCUUUUUUCAACGGAGAAUCAAAAAUCCAUCAUUGAAGAUUGUUAUAGAAUCUUAGUAUGAAAGACUUAAAUCUAAAACUAGAAAGGACUUAAAUCAUAUACUUCAAUCUUGUAUUGGUUUGUUUGUAUGUGUAACUUCCUUUCUGUGGAUUUGUUUAACAUAAUAUAUGAUGGUUGAUUUAAAAAUAAUAAGCUAGGUUAAUUACUGUGUUUUCCCUUUCUGAAAGAUUCGUUUCCUUCAUCAAUUUGUGUGUUAGACAAAACAUUACAACUUUAUUUGUUUUGUAUGCUAAAAGAACGGUAAAAGAUACCAGAGGGCCAUUCAAACUCAUAAAUAAAAAUACACUGAUAACGCCAUGGCAGAAAAAGACAAACUAUCAAUUUCAGUAAACAAGACACAACAAAGAAAACUAAAGACUAAGCAACACGAACCCCACCAAAAACUGAGGGAGAUUUCAGGUACUCCAAAAGGGUAAGCAGAUUAUGCUCCACAUGUGGCACCUGCCGGGUGCACAUGUCAAUACAAACCUGCUUGAUGUAAUGCUCCUCCAGAUAUUAAUGCAAAUAAUAUAAUGGGCAAAUGAACAUUGUUUUUCAUUUAGUUUAUUUGUUUUCUGAUAGAUUACAAUUGAAGAUAACAAAAACGAAAACAUAUUACAAAUGCACAAUAAAUUUGACUGAUAAGUCAGUAUAUUACGUUUAACUGUUUUUUCCGGCGCGUCUUUUAUAUAUAAGUGUGAGUAAGGGUUAAGAGUUAUUUGCAUGUAUGAUGAUAGUGAGUAGUUCCAGCAAUAAGUAAUGCAUAACAGUAACCAGUUUUUGAACGAUUUGAACGAUCUAAAUGUUUUGCAAAAUACAUUUGAAGAAAUGGGAACAGAAGUAAAAAGCAUGAAUUGAUAUCUGAGGAUAUCAAUCAUAGUAUUGAACAAGCAGCAAGGAAAAGGGAGGAAGAAAUUAAAUUUUGUUUCAGUGAUUCCACUGAAGGAGUUCGUGGAUAUUUGAUAGAUUAUGAAAGCUACAUGUAUUAUUGAUAUUUCACUAAAAAAAUAAAAAAUGUGUCCCCAUCAAAAUACCAAAUUAAAUGUCUAAUUUUGUUAUGAAUGAGAGCACUUUUUAUUUAUGUAUUAUCUUCUGCAAAUCACUCGAUAGAUAUACUCUUGUAGCUAAAACUAUAGUUAUUAUAUUAUAACAGAAUAUUUGUCAAUAGACUUCCAUUGUAUGAAACAUAACAAAACUUUAUCUCGGCUUUCCAAAAAUACUUUUCGAACGUGUUUUAUUUUAGAAACAAAAAUAGUUUCCGGCAUGUAAAGACAAAUACAAGUUUAAAAUCAUUAAUAAAUUUUAAUGCAUUCUAUUUUGUUUAUUUCAGGUUAAGCAGUAAUGUUCCUAACAUCCAGGUUGGGAACACGUUGAUACAAAUAGGAGAUAGAAAUAAAAUGAAUUACGAUACUUCUUCAAUGUGACACUUGAAAACAUAUUCAAGGUGUACUUUAUCACAUUAUCACAAUUAAACUAUCAUAAAGUUCUGGUUAACAUCUAAUCAUCAAGACUCUUCGUUUAUAUUUAUUAUUUAUUUACCUCAAGACGACAAUAUUGGUUAUAGAUUUUAAAAGCGUUAAUGUUGUAAUAACGUUUAAUGAGGUUGAAAUUGUGAGAUUUUCGACAGUGUAUAGUAUUGCCAAAAAGUUUUUGAUUUAUAUUAAUGUUUAAGCGUAUGGUCUCAAAACAAAAUGUUUUUAGAUUGAUUUUUUCACAUUUGUAAAGAAAUACCGAUCUUUAUAAGAACACAUUGAAACUGUUUCUAUCGAUUUAUGAGUAUCGAACAGCAGUAUACUACUGUUGCCUUUAUUUCUUUAAACCAUUGUGGUGACGUCAGCCUAUUCAUUUGCCGUGGAUUCUUUUUCUAGAAUCAACUCUUCCUAAAUCCGUCGCUGAAAAUGAACUCACAAUUG
Molecule: long non-coding RNA, 3241 nt
Filed under: Mytilus galloprovincialis (Mediterranean mussel)
Lineage: Eukaryota; Metazoa; Mollusca; Bivalvia; Mytilida; Mytilidae
Source: RNAcentral